GCGCGCGCAUUCCGCAAGUUUUUUUUCUUUUCUCAGGGACAGACUGCGCUAAGAGUGAACAAACUAAAGAGUUCCUGACAUGAUCCAGAGGUCUGGUUAGCCCUGACCAUUAUCCGAUCGCUAAGACGCUUGCACACUCCCUCAAAGCUCCAUUUGUUUAAGCCCACCUAGAAAUGUUUUUCCCUGAGGGACAGACUGCGCUAAGAGUGAACAAACUAACGAGUUCAUGACAUGAUCCAGGGAUCUGAUGCAACCACCCCCCAUUGUCAGUGUCCAGUUGGUCAUCAAAAUGCCGGGAUCUCUUGCAAGGUUCAUCAACACUUGG
Salvelinus namaycush (lake trout) is the source of this 325-nucleotide long non-coding RNA. RefSeq lists it as uncharacterized. The transcript is spliced from 4 exons. The record is from RefSeq and is a predicted model, not a curated record. NCBI's taxonomy places the organism in Eukaryota, Metazoa, Chordata, Actinopteri, Salmoniformes, Salmonidae.